AUAUAUGUAUGUAUAAGUUGAAUUCUGAAACGAGAUCAUUUUUCAAAAUGAACUUUUGAAAGAAAGUUGAGGCCAUUUCUUUUUGUGGGAGUGUUCAUGAUCUUUUGGGAGAUUGCAGCAAAUCCUGUUUGGUUUGUACACAGUUUGAUGGAGCUCCACCCCACCCCAGUUGGGGACAAAGUUGCAUAAACAGUAACUCAAUAAUUAGGAAACCCUGCACAUCACCUUCUUCACUCUCAUUUUCUUACAUCUCAAAGCCCCCUUAUCAACAAAAGUAUCUCCGUUUUCAAAGCAAAUUCAUUCAUUUUCAGUCAUUUCAGUCAAAACUCUCAAAACUAAAGUUUGGAUCUUUGUAGGAUCAAACCUAGUUUAGGUUCUACUCAAUGGCAUCCAUAGCCUCGAAAGAAUUAGCUGCCAAUACCCCUGGCCUUCAUACUUCCCCUGACGAAACCAACAAAGGCUACUUGGUGCUGCAAACUGUUGUGUCUAAAUAUCUGAAGUGUUUAUACAAAUUAAUUGGGAUACUGAAAGUGACCAGGAGUUCAAAGGAUACCAAACCGGGAAUUCAGAACCUUUAGGCUCUGGUAUGAAUAGUUUUUGCCUCUUGUAAUAUGUGGAUUUUUGUUAAGCUUUGGCCUGCAUUGCAACAAAAGACCAGCAGCAAAUUCAGCUCAACUUCUGCAGCAACACUGUUCUGAAGUGAAGAAAUGAAACUGGACAUAUUGGCAUCACCCUGGAUGAUACAAUCAAGGCAUGUGAGAGAUUCCAACGCCUUGGAGUAGAGUUCAGCAAAAAACAAUUAUGUAAAUCACAUGGAGAUUAUUUAAGACUAGAGCAUGCAAAAAUUUUCUGAAAGUGCUUUUGUUCAUGCCUAGUUUAUCAAUCUCAUUUGUACGGUAUGCAUUCAUCAGUGGUUACUGGACCGAAAUCUGUGAUAUGACUACUAUUGGAGAAGUAGUUAGAUAAUUUGCCUAAGUGCUUCACAAGCCUCAGGAAACAACAAUGGCAUAUGUUGCAGAUUUCAUUUGCCAUCUCGGUUUCAGUGUGGCGGUAUGUAUUCCUAUACAUCAUUUCUUCUGUUUCCGGAACUCAUUGAGGGAAGAACUCAGCCCCACCUCCAUGAAAUCUUAAUUGAACCACUUUUCAUUCCAGUGUGUCUACGUUUUCUGCAUGUCUGAUAUGUAUCAUCUAUGUGAUGGUAGAAACUUUCAACCAUUGAAUCAUGGAUAUAAUACUUUUUUGAGAACUUGUUUCUACAA
This is a long non-coding RNA of Gossypium raimondii (Peruvian cotton), 1259 nucleotides long. RefSeq lists it as uncharacterized. The record is from RefSeq and is a predicted model, not a curated record. The transcript has 5 exons. Lineage: Eukaryota; Viridiplantae; Streptophyta; Magnoliopsida; Malvales; Malvaceae.